GCCGGGCGUGGUGGCAUGUGCCUGUAGUCCCAGCUACUCAGGAGGCUGAGGUGGGAGGAUCGCUUGAGCCCAGGAGUUCUGGGCUGUAGUGCACUAUGCCGAUCGGGUAUCCCCACUAAGUUUGGCAUCAAUAUGGUGAACUCCCAGGAACAGGGAACCACCAGGUUGCCUAAGGAGGGGUGAACGGGCCCACGUCGGAAAUGAGCAGGUCAAAACUCCCAUGCUGGUAAGUAGUGGGAUCGUGCCUGUGAAUAGCCACUGCACCCCAGCCUGGGCAACACAGCGAGACCCCAUCUCU
Molecule: signal recognition particle RNA, 298 nt
Filed under: Saimiri boliviensis boliviensis (Bolivian squirrel monkey)
Lineage: Eukaryota; Metazoa; Chordata; Mammalia; Primates; Cebidae
Description: Metazoan signal recognition particle RNA (ENSSBOG00000001004.1)
Rfam family: Metazoan signal recognition particle RNA
About the family: The signal recognition particle (SRP) is a universally conserved ribonucleoprotein.
Source: RNAcentral